This 150-nucleotide microRNA precursor is filed under the name Podarcis lilfordi (Lilford's wall lizard). Lineage: Eukaryota; Metazoa; Chordata; Lepidosauria; Squamata; Lacertidae. The record is from RNAcentral.
GCUGAGUGGGGAGGAGAGAUGGACAGAGAGCCUGCUUCUUUAAAGGAGCAAAGCGGAAGAGGAGCCACUUACACAAGUGUAAGCGGCUCCUGUCCGGUUGGUUCCUUUAAAGCAAGCAGGCUCUCUGUCCCUCUCUCCUCCCCACUCAGC